AGUACCAGAAGAAGACUGAGGCCCGGAGAGACAUAGGAGCUAGAGAAACAGCUGUCUUAUCAGCACACUGCAGAGAUGGAGAUGGCUCAAGAGGUCCUCAACAGAUAAUCACUUGAAUAGGUUAUGAUGAUAUAGCUGGAUCCAAAGACCCAUUUCCAGUCACUGGUACAGUAAUUAGAAAUGGUUUCAACCGAAAACAAAGUCCUCGGGGGCACUUAUCUUUUUCCUUCCUUUCCCACCCUUCUGAAGUGAAAGAGCAGAUGACCCUGCCCCAAACGUGAUUAUGCAGGUCCCUUACAACAUAGUGCAUCCCAGUCAUCUCCAUGGCAACGGCCGGUGACGACUUAGAAGGCAACUAGAUCCCCGAACAGAAAAAAAAAAAAAGUUUGAAGAAUACUGGGCACAAUUAAUUCUUUGAAAAAUGUGCAGAGGCGGCGAGUCGAUUGAAAAUGCAGGACUGA
This is a long non-coding RNA of Ornithorhynchus anatinus (platypus), 461 nucleotides long. RefSeq lists it as uncharacterized. The record is from RefSeq and is a predicted model, not a curated record. The transcript is spliced from 2 exons. NCBI's taxonomy places the organism in Eukaryota, Metazoa, Chordata, Mammalia, Monotremata, Ornithorhynchidae.